UGUCCCGAGAAAAAUGGCGUUCGUCAGCUCCAGUUUGUAUCCAGCCUCUCAUGGAGACUUCAGAUGCCCCAACACCUGCAAUGAGAAGACUAAAUGCCUAUGAAGAGACGACUCAACACCUGUGAAAGAUGACUCGACGCCUGUGGAGAGACGACUCAAUGCUGGGCCAACAGACACAGAGCUUGCAGCGGGGGAGCUUCACUGCAAAGCAGACAGUGGGCUGCCAGAUAAAUACACUCAACGGUCUGUGAAGUACAGCAAUGUUAGCCUCUUCUUAUGCAGUCAGAAUGUGAUGGAAAACUCCGGUAAGAAGUGGACAUCCAGGGGUUUAGGUUCACGCUUCACACAGCAAACAGUGCAUCACAUCCCUUCAUCUCAACAAUUCAGCACUCAGUGGGAAAUACUCAUAUAUGGCCGUCGCCCUUCUUCUGAACUGGCAUUCACAUCAAGAGGUCCCACAGACACGAGAGGAGGAUGGAAAUUGAUUUGGACUACUCAUGAUCUCUCACAAAUGAUCUUCUGUCCCAUGGUUACCACCUUCUCAUUGAAUCAGCCUGCUCUUUCUCCCAACUCACAGCACCGUGCCCGUUUGCCGGCCCCACUUCCUCUUCACCACGGCUCACACUUUCUCUGAGAACACUUCUCCCAAAACAAUGCCCCGUUUGGUCUGUACUUCCUCCUUUUAUACUCCUCUAAUCGCAACGCGUCCCAAUCGCGAAGCUUUACUCCCCAUGCACAGCUGCCAGCGACGUUUGGCUGAUCACCCCAUUUUCGGGGAUUUUUGCGCUACCCUGGAACUAACCCGGUGUUCCUUUUUUUUGGGUCCGGCGGGAGGCAAUCACGGCGAACAUUAGUUCCCGCUUUGUUAGGGACAAAGUUGGAUUUUGUUACCCUGUGACAUGUACUUUUUCAAAAUCUACAAUUUUAUAUUUGUGCAUUUUCCUAUCGUUUGCAUUUAUUUUAUUUCAUUGCUUUUUUUUUUCUAAGC
Pimephales promelas (fathead minnow) is the source of this 988-nucleotide non-coding RNA. NCBI's taxonomy places the organism in Eukaryota, Metazoa, Chordata, Actinopteri, Cypriniformes, Leuciscidae. The record is from RefSeq and is a predicted model, not a curated record.